AUUGAACGCUGGCGGCAUGCCUUACACAUGCAAGUCGAACGGCAGCACGGGUGCUUGCACCUGGUGGCGAGUGGCGAACGGGUGAGUAAUACAUCGGAACAUGUCCUGUAGUGGGGGAUAGCCCGGCGAAAGCCGGAUUAAUACCGCAUACGAUCUACGGAUGAAAGCGGGGGACCUUCGGACCUCGCGCUAUAGGGUUGGCCGAUGGCUGAUUAGCUAGUUGGUGGGGUAAAGGCCUACCAAGGCGACGAUCAGUAGCUGGUCUGAGAGGACGACCAGCCACACUGGGACUGAGACACGGCCCAGACUCCUACGGGAGGCAGCAGUGGGGAAUUUUGGACAAUGGGCGAAAGCCUGAUCCAGCAAUGCCGCGUGUGUGAAGAAGGCCUUCGGGUUGUAAAGCACUUUUGUCCGGAAAGAAAUCCUUGGCCCUAAUACAGUCGGGGGAUGACGGUACCGGAAGAAUAAGCACCGGCUAACUACGUG
Molecule: ribosomal RNA, 486 nt
Filed under: uncultured bacterium
Lineage: Bacteria
Description: partial 16S ribosomal RNA
Rfam family: Bacterial small subunit ribosomal RNA
Source: RNAcentral